This is a non-coding RNA of Pelobates cultripes (western spadefoot toad), 215 nucleotides long. The record is from the annotation of a GenBank genome assembly. Lineage: Eukaryota; Metazoa; Chordata; Amphibia; Anura; Pelobatidae.
CAACAAUACCAAAUUUUUCAGGCAUGUGUACAUGCCUAAUUUUUAGGCCCUCUGGUGCUGCACUGUGGCUUCAAAACUUUUUCACUGUUAUAGAUUGAAUAGCAGUUAGUUGUCUGCAAGCAUCAGAAAGUCACCCCCUUGCCCGGCGUCUGACACCUGGCUUGUCUGAACUAUUAGCCCGCCAGCUUUUACCAUACAAUCUGGUGGAGUCUGAG